CACCCAACAAAGAAGCUAAAAUUCUUAUUUUAUCCCUUAAUUAUUGUCUUCACCAUUACAUUCGUUGUUUAGCUUCUUCAACGCUGCUUUCCUUCUUCGACCAUUGAUUAUUCACCAACACUUUUUCAUCGGCGUUGAAAAUUUGGAAUUCGAAAAUUCAUUCUUUGCUCCACAUCAAUUUCGAGAUUAUUCACCAACAUUUCUUCAUCGGCGUUGAAGAUCUGAAAUUCAAAAAUUCAUUUAUUGUUCCACAUCAAUUUCGAGUGACGGUAAUAACCAAACCGGGAAACUACCAGAUGACGAAAACUACCCAAAUAAAAUGAAGAACAAAAUGUGGAAACGGCUGAACAGGAAGCCCGAGAAGCACUUACUCAAGGGUUUGCAGUGACUUGCAAUUUUCUCUAUAGUUUGUUGAAGGU
Molecule: long non-coding RNA, 419 nt
Organism: Salvia hispanica
Lineage: Eukaryota; Viridiplantae; Streptophyta; Magnoliopsida; Lamiales; Lamiaceae
Source: RefSeq, a predicted model, not a curated record